UACGUAGGGUGCAGGCGUUAAUCGGAAUUACUGGGCGUAAAGCGUGCGCAGGCGGCUUUGCAAGACAGAUGUGAAAUCCCCGGGCUUAACCUGGGAACUGCAUUUGUGACUGCAUGGCUGGAGUGCGGCAGAGGGGGAUGGAAUUCCGCGUGUAGCAGUGAAAUGCGUAGAUAUGCGGAGGACCCCCGAUGGCGAAGGCAAUCCCCUGGGCCUGCACUGACGCUCAUGCACGAAAGCGUGGGGAGCAAACAGG
This 253-nucleotide ribosomal RNA is filed under the name uncultured bacterium. RNAcentral describes it as "partial 16S ribosomal RNA". It matches the Rfam family "Bacterial small subunit ribosomal RNA", at positions 524 to 776 of the family's 1533-position model. The record is from RNAcentral.